Molecule: long non-coding RNA, 1186 nt
Organism: Haliotis rubra (blacklip abalone)
Lineage: Eukaryota; Metazoa; Mollusca; Gastropoda; Lepetellida; Haliotidae
Exons: 2
Source: RefSeq, a predicted model, not a curated record
CGGUUCCGCAGUAUCGACAUCGACAACAUAAAAAAUACAUAUACACUUGCACUUAGAAGAAAAUAAUUCCAAAAGUUUGAAAUUUUGAAUUUUGAAAUUUUGACUCGAAAGGAGGGGAAUCCCCUUACUCAGCUAUAUAAGCAAAGUCGAGUGUGUCACAUUGCAUUAGAUGACUGGACGAUACACGUGCAUUCCACCUCGACAAGCACAAAAACAUCAUGGGUAAUAUACUCUUUUGCUGGUCAAGAACCCAAUAUCAGGUAGGUCAGGUGUGUUUGUGUGUGUCCCAACAUUGCCCAACAAAGUGACAGCUUUUCUUUAACCUCCUGUAUUUGGAUUAUCCAUGCCCAAAGGAAUACAUUUCAUUGUGUACGUUUUGGUUCCAGAAACUUUUCAACCACAUUGCCUCCCACUGUGAGCACCAGUUGUCACAUAGGGAUUCAUGGCCACGAUUUCUGGUUGUUGAAAGUGAUGACGGUCUCCCACUCAAGAUCAACCCUUUCCGUUAGUGUCGAAAGUUGUGGAAGGAAUAUGUGGCACUGUGAACAAUAUCACUCGUCUUCGAUCUGGCUCUCCUCAUAGAAUGUGCCAAGAGACAGCAAUCUCAAAAUCUGCUCAACGCACACCAUUUUGCUGAUACUGAGGUAGUUGUAUCAGCACACAAAUCCCUUAAUUCAUGCAGAGGCAUUGUUCGAGAUCGAUCGAAAUGCCUUUCUGACAUGUCAGAAGAGGAGAUUGCGAUGGAACUGAAAUCUCAGGGGGUGACUUCCGUGGAACGAUUCACCAGAAAAGAUAAUGACCGAGUUAUCAAUACCAGUACUUAUCUUAUUACUUUUGCUCUUUCAAAACUGCCGACAUCCAUCAAAGCUGGAUAUUUUAACAUCCGUGUGGAUACAUAUAUUCCUAAUCCCUCCGUUGUUUUAGAUGUCAACAUUUUGGACAUGUUGCUAAGUCCUGUAAUAACUCACCAAUUUGCUCUCGCUGUAGUGGCAAACAUGAGAACACUGAAUGCACAAAUGCCAUCAAAUGUGCAAACUGCCAUAGCGAGCAUAUGUCUUACUCCAGGUCAUGUCCAGUAUAUGAGAAAGAAUCUAAAAUUACUAAAAUCAAAUAUACAAACAAUAUUUCUUUCUCAGAUGCCAAGAAAUUGGUUGUGGAUCAGUCGCAAAAAACUCUACCCAAAUCA